UCCUUUCGCCCGAAACCCACUUUCAAAUGCAAAGCAAUUUCAUCUAAAUCCCAUUGCAAAUCAUGUCUUGUAUUUACAGUUCAGUCUCUUCUUUCUCAAUUUCAUCUAAAUCGUCUUCUUCUUCUCGCUCUAAAUUCAAGCCCAGAAUCUCUUGUUCCGUUGGAGGAACUGUUGCUGAACCAAAAACUAUAAAUGCAACAGAGCCUUUGUUGCUUGAUGCUGUUCGGGGUAAAGAAGUAGAAAGGCCUCCUGUUUGGCUUAUGAGACAAG
Molecule: unclassified non-coding RNA, 270 nt
Filed under: Hevea brasiliensis (rubber tree)
Lineage: Eukaryota; Viridiplantae; Streptophyta; Magnoliopsida; Malpighiales; Euphorbiaceae
Source: RNAcentral